This 11423-nucleotide long non-coding RNA is filed under the name Setaria italica (foxtail millet). Its description in RNAcentral is "long non-coding RNA (SITA_LNC002017)". The record is from RNAcentral. Lineage: Eukaryota; Viridiplantae; Streptophyta; Magnoliopsida; Poales; Poaceae.
UGGCCCUGACACGUGCCUAAGGGAUCAAUGAGGACGGCUGACAAAUGAAGCGACCCUUCGUGGUGCGCGGAUGUCGUGAGAUUAGGUUCGUAAUAAAUUUGAAUCGAUUCGUCUGGCUCUCACAGUUCGUGAUCGCUAUUCUGCACUGAGUAAAGAUGGAACAUGAUGAUGAUAUUAAUCUUGAUGCUUGUUCUUUAAUUGUUUGGAAACUAUGCUUGCCUAGUGUUGACGCCAGAUUUCGACACGAGUAAAAUCGGCGUUAGGAGAGGAAGAAAUUAAAAGAUGCGGCGAGAUAAAAGGGCGACUAUUGGAAAUCGGCCGAUUGGUGCUACAGUCAAGGAUCGGCCGAUUGGUGCUACAGUCAAGGAUCGGCCGAUUGAUGCUACAGUCGAGGAUCAGCCGAUUGACCCUUGGAGUUCCGCCUCGCCCGACCCCUGGGGUUUGGGAUCGGACGCGCUCGACCCUCCAAAGGAGGAUCUCCGCCUUGCCCGACCGUAGUUUCCAGGGUCGGAGUAAGUCUGAGCCCUCGGCAUGUGGGUCCUGAUCGGUUACCCCUUGCCGAUGAGGUGAUCGGUCGAUUAGGAGGUUGGAAUAGUUGGGCCGGUGUGGGCUUAAAAAGGGUUAUGAAGAUGAAGAGGGAAUCAGCCCGUGAAGCGCGUGAUGAUCGACCUAGUACGAAUCGUACUUGUAAAUAUUUGUUUUCUGUUUAAAUUUAGGGAUAGAGUUCUAGUCAGAUAAGAAGUCGUUUGUACGGGGCUAUAAAUAGCCACCCUUGUAGAUCUGUAAUCAGAAUCAACUCAAUACAAUAAACUACUAUUUCCUCGUACUUACUUUCAAGCAGGCGACUUCGCCAACACUUUUUCUUCUUUUUCACAAGUUCGUACGGGUUGGCGGGGCUGCAUCAACUUGACCUCCGACCAAUCUUGUAAGUUCCGCUUAUCGAGUAAAUUCUAAGCUUUAACUUCGGGCGCAUCGCUGUCGUUUCGUUUAGAUUUAUUCAUCAGUUAUCGAUAUUUACUAGAAUUCUAGGUUUUACCUGUUGUUCUAGUUUUAUCACCAGUUAUCCAGCUAGGAAUCGGCAAUUUCAGCUUUUCUUGUACUUCGUCAUUUAAUUUACUUAUUUUGUGCAUAGCCGAUUAGAUCUGCUCCUUGUGUUGCCACUGUAGCGUUGUAUAGAUUGCUCCAGCAGUUUUUUAUUAACGCUGCCCGGUAAUCGGCUGCUUCAUAGCCGAUUUCUUUAUUACGGCAAAUCGGCCGAUUCACUGAUAAGCUUUCUCGAGAUCGGAGCCUUAGCCGAUCGCAACCUCUAGAAUCUGACACGUCUUUUUCCUUGCCAAUCAACAGGUCAGAUUGGCUGGCACGCCGCGCAAACCGCACCAGGACGAUCACCCGAACAGGAGUUAAGCAGAUUCUCCCGGGUCGUGUGUCAGACGCUGGGGAUUCGGUCAGCCGAUUUCUAGCGCCAACACCUAGUAUAAGUUCCUAAUCUAGACUGGUUAAUGAACUUAGAACUUGAGCUAAAAUAUUGAAAGUAAGGACCAACUUUAGUCGCUUUUGGCAAAAACAAACCCACCGCCAAAAAGCCUUGCAUGUCUAGGAGUCAGUGGAGUAGUUACCACCUGACGGGUAAGCCUUGUUGAGUACUAGUAUACUCAGCCUUUCUUGUGGCUUCUUUUUCAGGUGUGGUUGCUGGUGUUGUCUUGUUUGAGACCCAUCCUCGGUCAGCGAGGACAGGGGUCAUUGAUGUCAUGAUUGGCUUCAUCAUGAUAUCGUACAUCGACGUUUAGCUUCCGCUUGAUUUACUUCUUGUUCCUUACAACCUUGCAAAUUCGGUCUGAAUUUCAAAAACUCUAAUGUAAUAAAAUGUUGAAUUAUGUUAUUGUGAUGGGAAUGUUGUAAUCUCUGUGCCUACUCACCUUCGUGUGAGCAAUGCUUCUCGAUCCUGAGUAAGUGGUUUAUCGGAUGAAAUCCGACGGACGACCAUGUUGACUUGCUUAAAGUGCAUGAUCGCGUGUCAGACGACUUAAGUGCAUUUUAGUCAGGUUAAUUUAGGCGGUUCCGCCACAGCUGGUAUCAGAGCUUGAAGCAUGGUACGGAGAACAACAGACCUUAAAACACUUUUUCUGAAUAAAAUUUGCAAGAAACUAGUUGAAAAAUUCGUAAGUUCGUUAAGGAUGAGUUUAGUACAAGAAGCCCUAGGGGAAUUUUGGGUCUUUUAAGGUGGCUAGUAACUAUUGGUUAUUUACUGACUUUCAGCACUUGCCACCAUGUUUAUCAUACGUGUGCAGAGUUCCACAUCGCGAGUAUGCGAAGGGCGAUAGGAAUUCGAUUCCAACGAACCUAUCAUCAUGGUUGUUUUUGCCCACAUCUAUUAUACGUGCGCAAGGUUCCGUAUGUUAAAUCAUGCGAAGGGUGAUAGGAAUUCGAUUCCAACGAACCUAUCAUCAUGGUUGUUUUCGCCCACAUCUAUUAUACGUGCGCAAGGUUCCAUAUGUUAAAUCAUGCGAAGGCUGGUAUUGUUCAAUUCCAACGAGCCUAUCAUCACGGUUGUUCGCCCACGUCUAUUAUACGUGCGCAAGAUUCCGCAUCAUGAGUAUGCGAAGGGUUAUAGGGUUCUAUUCAAAAGGACCUAUUUCCACGGUUGUUGCGCUGUCCAUGCAGCGUUAAACGCAUGGGUGCUGUUUCUAUAGUGAACGGUAAUGUUUGUGGACGCUUUCGUGACGUGCUGGCACGAAAGGUUCAGGUUGAAAUUUUUUGUAGGUACACUAACCGCGAUUGCGUAAGUUAACGAUGGAUAGAAAAUUUCAACUAGUUAUUAUAGUGAGAGCCGUAAAUGUUGCCUUGCCACCGGCACUAACCACGUAAGUCCAAAACUUUUUGGCAAUUAUUUUGUUGUGAGGUCAAAUAGGGCGUGCAUGCAUCAUGAUUAUUGCUUUGUGCAUAAACAUGCUCCUCUCAACCUUGUUCUAAUAAUAAUUAACUUGUGGCAACCUGUACAGUACGUCUUCUCUCUGUAUGUGAUUCUGCAUGCUUGUGCUCUCUAUUGUGUGAUCUUGUUGAUGACAUAUUGAAUGCAAGAAAAAUAUAGCCUGAACCUAUUUUAAUUGUUUUAAGCAUGUUCUGCUUCCUAGGAUUAUGUAGGUUGUUAUUCUUGCUCAAAAAAAAAUUUGAAACUUCUGCAGUAGCCUAUUGGAUGUAUCUUAGCUGCUGUAAUUUUUAUUGGUAUGCAGAAUUCUAUUUAAAUGCAGUUAUUCAAUUUUCUUGCUAACUACUAAUAUAACUAGAUCUGUUCCUAUGGCUUGCUUAUGUGAUGGUGUGUCUAUGUAACCGUGUUUUCAUGUUGCACAUGCCUGAAAAUAGUUUGCUAAAUGUAAGUUAAAAACUUGCCUUCUUUACUGAAGAAGAGAUAUACACCUACUCAGUAAAAGAAAAUAGAAGAUAACAAUACCUUGCCACCAUGUUUUGCAUGUUUAUGUGUGGUUGUGUUGCUGUAGAUAAAUGCAUAGAUUGUGCGAGCCUGGUGCUUAGUAUUAGUUACUUAAGCUAGUUAGAUUGAGUUUCUGAAAUGCUUGCUUAAGACCAUGACAUAGGUGUGGAUGUGUUGUUUUUAGGUGAUACCAUGGUUGUUAAGCUUUGUCCUCGGUGAGCGUAUGAGUUGUUGUUGUGCUUGUUUGCAAAAAAAUCAUGCCCAAAAUCCUUGUUUCGAUCUCUCUGUUGCUAUCCUAAAAAUGAUCUGGUGAAAGGUUAAUUCCGCUUUCUAUCUUGGCCUCAUACUCUUUUUCUUGUAAAGCCUGUCGUUGCUUUACCAACUAAAUCUUAGGUUGGUCGUGAUCUGUUAAUCUCUUUGGUGGACAAAAGAUAUGCCUUGAAUUAAAGAAAGAAUCUCAUGUUCAAUUGUCUUCAGCGGUUAAUCUAUGUUUUCUCUCAUGCUAUCCUUCUUUUGUUGGACCACACCCUUAUCGAUAUGUGCGCUUGUGUUGUAUCUCCAUCUUGGACCAUCUCCUUGUUGACUCCAUACCUUGUAGCUGCCUUUGCUAGCUAUUCCUCCUUCGCAUGGUGCUUGCUCCUAUACAACUAAAUUUUGCCAUGUGAGAAUUCUUGUGGGUUGUAUGUUCAGUAAUGGUGCCCCGAUUAGUGAUCUACGGUGCCGCGAUGAAACUGAGAGCCUCCUGUGGGUGCACACACAAGGCUGUGUUGCUCGGCACGCGCUGGUAUUGAGAUUUCUAGUCAUGAUCCAUUGCAGAACUACACCGAUGUGUUAUCUUCACAUGAACUCUUCCUUGGUUAUCUCUCCAUAUCUAAUCGGAAGAUCCUUAUAUCAAAUCAAAGGUGGUAGAGUUUCCUUCUGGAGCUACAAAGAGGUGGCAACUUAAAAGAUGAAAACUGAUCUUGCACAUGUGUUCGUCUAAAAGCUCGUACGUGCUAAAGAUCAUCUAGCUACCUUGUUCAACAACUUUGGUCUCGUUGAGUUCUUUUGACUUGUGUACUUUUAUUUGCUCCAGAAACUCUCUACAGGACAGUCGUGUAAAAUCUCUUAAACAAAAUGCUGGCAAAAUUUGGUAAGAAUUGGCCAAGUAGGUUUUGAGAUAUGUUUAGAUUAGUAACCCCCUAUUUGCUGAGAAAACAGUUUGCACACCUGGUGGGAUUUUAUUUUUUUUCGACCACCUUAAGGACUUUUUCUGAAAGGAACCCUUAAACCUAAGUUGUUAAGCCAUGAGCAUAGAACAUUUUGGUGAAAUUUCAGUGGAAUUAGAUCAAUGGUGUAAGAGAUAUAAUCUGCUCAUUCCUGCUCUGUCUCUGAAAAUCCCAGAAUAAAACUCUCUGAGAAUUAUAGUUUAUCACCUUCCUAGGCCUUGAUUAAGCUACAACCUUGAAUACCAAAAUUGUUGGAAACCAUCUAAAUAACCUUCUGGUAAAAUAUCAAAGUUUUUGGAUAAGUGGUUUGGAAGUUAUGGUCGGUUUUGCACUGCACUGUUUCUGAAAAUUCCAGGAUGUACCACCUGCUAAAUGUCUGAGUAGAACACCUGGUUAGAAGCUGUUUUGGCUCCACCUUUGAAUACCAAACUUGUCACUAAUUACCUAAAGCACCUUCUGGUAAAAGUUUAAAAGUUUUUGCUAAGAAGUUUGAGAGUAAUGGUUUGAUCAGUGAGGUGUGGUUACAAACGGUUUCAGGCUACACCACAAUGGAAAGAUCUAAUCCUAUGGCCUUCCUAAAGGCCGUUUAAGCUAAAGUUUUAAAUAACAAACUUGUGAAAAAAAAUACCUAAGGAACCUUCUGAUAGAAUUUCAUGAUUUGUGGAUGAGUAACUUAAGAAGUUAUAGUAAUUAAAAGAACAUGAUAUGACUGUUAGUGUUCAGUUUCUUUAAGUUGGUUGUUGUUGAAAUUGUUGUGUGAACCCAACGUAUUGCUUAGAAUGAUGUGAGGAAGCAUUAUGUUGCAUCCAUGCGUUGCAUACAUCUUAAGGUACCUAAAAGAAAAUCAUGAUAAAAUGGUAUUCCAACCCUUGGUUUUCUUGCUAUCUGGAUGUCCAGCUCUGAGCCAAGCUCAAGUAAUCUGCUUGCUGUCCAAGAAUUGACUAUGCCAUCUUUAUCACUCUCAACACUUGAUGCAUGUGUUCUCCUCCAAUAUUUCCAACCUGAUCCUUUUUUAUACUCGAUCUUUCUCUCAUCGCUAGACCUUUCUCACUUGAGCCACAUAUGAACACUCUAUAUAAUGACCUCCGAAAUCCUAUCAAUUGGUUCAAGACUGCUGAGAAAAACUCCAUGGUUGGAUCUGAUUAAUGAUAAGCUGCCAGGGGUUUUGUUUCUAAAUUCCUUGUUGUUCCUCCAUUUCCACCUUCCAUAUCAUCACCCGAAUCUCGGGACGAGAUUCUCUUUAAGGGGGGUAGGGUGUGACAGACCGAGUAAUUAAGAACCUAAAUCAAAUAAUCAAUAGGGUGAUUAAGAAGAAAAUCAAAGCUAACUCCAAUUUACUGAGAGUUAAGGUCAAAAAUAUCUCAGAUUUUUAAACCAAGUGUUAAAACUCCCUCCUGUUGAGAAUCACUUGUGAAGCAAAUAAAAACAAAUUUUAUAUAAGAACUUAAAUCUUGACCAAUAUACUAGUGGUAGCCCUUUUCAAGUUGAACACCUUCCACUCACACCACUUCUUCUGAUUUUGAGCAGAGGAUGUUCCAAAUUCGAGUAGACGAUCGGUCAAGUUUCAAAUCCAAUUCCAAAAUGGCUUUGACCGACGUUCCACCAAAGGUCCUACCAUCCUAUCUCCAACUUCGUCGAGCUUUCCUUGUUGAUCUUUAUAAAAGUCAUAGCACAUACCUUGUUCCCGAACUUUCACUUUUGGAAGUUAAACCGCGUAGUUCAAACUUGGUGUGAGAAUACGCGUUAAACCUGACACCUUCGCCAUGACACGCAUCAUGAGCAUCAUCAUGCAUAUUUAAGCAUCUUGAACAUCUUUUUGUGCAUCGUUGGCCAUUAUAAGCAUCAUUUGUGCAUACAUGAGUGUUUUGACAAUGCAUUGUUAAGUGCUCCGAAUUUUGUUAUUUAUCGGUGAAAAAUCAAAUUUGUGAAGGAACCUCAAUUUCUUCCAUACAACUGUGCCCCCAAAUAUUUUAUUCAAAUACUAGACAUCAUUUAGUGAUUUUACAAUACCAAAUUUUUUAGAGAUGUUUUCUUGGGUCAAAAAUUUAUUUAAAGUUCAAUUUUAGCUAUUUUGUUUUGACGAUUGUGUUCAAACCAUAAAACCUUUUGAGUUGAUUCUUGUUGCAUUGGAUUCUUCGUGAUUUUAUCUUUCCAACGAGCAUUUUUGGAGAAUUUUUGAACACCGGUAGCUGGAUCGUUUAAGGGGUCAAAGUUGGCAUGUUUUAUUUCUCUGCGGGUCCAUGCGUCAGUCGUCUUCCUCCUCUCUCCACACAUGUUGCAGACCGGGAGGGACACUGGGCGCCCAUGGCGCCACGAGGCUGGCAUGCACGGAGCUCCUCCUCGCCGGAUUGGCCACCCGGACAAUGCCUACGUGAAAUUCCAACCUUGUCCUGAUCCUCCCCCUCCUAUAUAAAGCCCCCAACCCUCCCCUUUCUCCAUUGCCAGUACAAGCUCCAAGUUUUCCCCAAACUUCGCUGCCCAAAUCCGUCGCCAUGGUCGAGUUCCGGCUCAAUUCCUCGCAGCCACGGCGCCUCCUCGACGUCGCGAUUCCAUUUUGCUACUUCCCGGGCUCUCUCCCUCACCGGACGACGCCCUCCACGGGAGCUCCUCCGCCGCCCCCUUCCUGUACCAUUCCUCUGUGUGCGCCGCCCUCUUCCAAGUGCCUGACUCCAUUCUAGUGAGCCUCCUGGCCCUGUGCGCCGCCCCUCUCCCUCCCCAAUCCGCCCCUUCUCUUUCCCCCACCUUCGGCCCCAAGUCCAUGGCCGGCCGUGCUCGUUCCCGUGCGUGUGUGCCUGUGUUGUGUGCUGUUAGUGCGUGGGGGGCUUCAUUGGAGAAGAAGAAGGAAGUGUAGGGGGUUAUGGGGAAGUUUCAGGGAUAUUUGUGCAUUUAAUCCGUAGACCCAGGGGGUAGAUCGUAAGAUCAUCUCGGUUUUGUUUAUUUUUCUAGAUCUAAAAAGGCUGAAACUUUAAAAUUUCGUAGUAAAUUGUAGAAAAAUCUUAAAAUACCAAAUGAGAACUUUUUGGAAUCCUUGAGAGAAUACUUACACACUAUAGUUAUAAUAUGAUAUUUUUUAGUACAAAGUUUCUGAUGUUUUUAUUUAUUCUUUCAAAGUGCUUUUAGAAAUUCUUUUAAGUUGUUAGACGCACAUCUUGAGUUAUAGAAGUCCAAAACUUGUGAUUCCAAUUGUAUUGGUCUUGUGAUGACACCCUCUAGCUAAGAAAAAUUUUAAACAUGCUAGUUGUGUACUAUUUUUAACAUGUUUUGAUUUAAUCUUGAUAAAUAGGCAAAUUCUAGUUUGUCGUGCUUAUCAUUUUCAUAUCUAAAGUCGUGGUGCUCCAAUCAUUUUGAAAUUUUAAUGGUUUCCUACACAUGAUUCUCUUGUUCUGUGGUAAAAAUUUCAUACUGAUUGGUGCAUUUAUGACUGAGUUAUUGAUUUAACUUGUUUAUUGCUUCAUAAAUGGUUUUAAAUAAGUUAUAACUUUUAUGUAGGUGUAAAAAUGGGAAAUGUGGUUCCACUACCUUUUUAUGAUAUUUUUCUACCAUAAUAACAUAUAAUAUGGCUAUAUGCUUAUAGAAAAUGAUGAUCUUUAGAUUUAUCUUGCUUUGACAUGUUUUCUUGCAUUAGCAAUUUGUCUUUUUCGUAGAAAUUAAUUUAUACAACUUGAGCAUGUGAAAUUUGUACAGUAGCCAUGUUUUUAUAGCACCUACCACUCAUAGAAAUCUCAGCCCCAAACUAGUUGUUCUCUUAUGGCACUAAAAAUAACAUAUAUACAUGUCAUUCUAUGGAAGUUAAUGGAAGUUUGCUAGUAGAUGCAUAUACUCAAGUCAUGUGAUGCUUUUAAUAGUUAUUUUUAAGGGGUACGUAUGAUGCUAAGUUAUUAUAAGUAGUGGUUAAGCUUUGAAUAUAACUCAGAUGUAUGCUCUCAUGUUAACAUAAUAACUAAUGAUUAUGUUACUUGUAUAAGUUCUUCAUCCUGCGUAAUUCUUGCUUAAGGUGUUUAGGAUGUUCCAUGUUACCUAAAGCUAAUGCUAAUUAAUUAUGUUUAUAGUUCUUGUGAGCUAUGUGUUUAACUUAUGCAUGUGUUACCUUGUUGAAAAAAAACUAAAUGAAGAACCUUGUUGCAUAUCUGCUGAAAUGGCUACUAGAGCAGUUAUGUUGUGGCAAUAUUUUCGGGAUGCAAAUGAUGUUUUCUGUAAAUAUGGUGAAUAUAAAAGUUGUAUGUAACUUCAUAAUAUAGCUUGUGCUAAAUUUUCAUGACCAUAAGCCUGAUGCUUUAGGAGCUAUAGAUUUUACAAGUUCAUUAUCAGGUUUUGCAUGCUCUAUGUAUAGGUCUGAAUGAUUGAGUUGUUUGACUUAGCUAAGCUUUGAAUAAUGUCUUAGAGAUAGUAUAAGAAGUGUAGGGUUUUUCAUGAGCUUUCCAAAUUGUUAAAGAUCACCCAUUUUGGUGGUCUAAAUCUCCAGUUAUGAGGUUGUGAAGUGGAACGACAGAAUCUGUCUUAAUCUGGACAGAGAUGUCUUUUUUUGUGAUGUUUGACCUGGUUAACUUUGGUUUUAGCUUGUUGUGUUUAUAAAAUGUUAUGAAUGGUUUGUUAAGAUUUCUAAAAAUUCUAGAACCACCUUGUUGUGAAAGCUAUAACUCCAUAUAUGGCUGUCUAAAGUUUAAUGUCAGAAUCUGUCCACGUUUGGACAGAUUUGCUUCUUUGUGUAGCAUAGUCUUAUUAACUGUUGAAUCAUCUUGAGAUGACAAUAAUAAAGUUAUAUAUAACUUAAUAAGGUUUCUAUAAAGAUAAGAAUCAUGGUUGUUGGAGGUCUAGAACUCCAGAUAUACAUCUGUGAAGUUCGUGUCAGUUUUCUAUCCUUGUUUGUACAGAUCUACUCAUUGGUGUGUUUUCACCUUGUUAUUUGUUGAAUCAGAUUUUGGUGUGAGUAACAAAGUUUUAGAUAACUUAAUUAAAUUUACAGAAAGUCUAGGAUCACCCUUUUUGGAUGCUUAUAUCUCUAGUUAUGGUUAAAACAAGUGACUACUGUGCUGCUGUCCAGAUUCAGUGUAUGUGCUUAAGUUAUUAGCUUAAACUUGAUGUUGCCUUGUGUGCUGGCUAGUUAGCUCAUAUCACUGUUAGAGUUAAAUUUACCUACCUAAGAAUCUUAUAAAUGUGUUAUAUAAUGUUGAUCAAGCACUCAACUAAUAAAUGUUCAUGUGUGGAUGUUGCUACAAAAUAACCUUGUUGCAUAGCUUGCUAGAACCUUAGUGAUGUUGGUAUGUGACUUGCUUGUGUAUGAAUUGUUUAAAAAUAAAUGUAAUAUACUUCGAUCACCUCAACUGGCUGGUUGUGUGAUGCACUUAUAUAUGCCAUGUUGAUAAGCACCAUCACCCUAGUUCUUGUAUGAUGCUAGGCUUAAUUAGCUCUUGAUUGUUAAAUGCUUGCAAUAGCUUGACUUGAGUUAACUAGUGUGCCAUGCUUGUUAGGCUUGCUAUCUCUAUGGAGACUUGAGUGAUAGUUAGUUAAAGAACUUGCUCUCUAAGUGCUUAUAUCUUGUGGUGUAACCUUGUGCGUGUCCCGAAUGCUUUUGUGUGAUGCAUCUCUUUUUACUGUUCUUCGUAUUCAUGCUGUUGCAUCUUGCUUCUCAUCUAGAUACGCUAGAUAAACCACAUGAAGGACGUGAUGAUGGAACCGAACCCGAAGACGGUGUAUGGUGGAGCUAUCUCGAAGAUGGAAGGACUAAGCAUGUGCCGAGAUGGGAGAUGCUCGCCAAGCGAGUGUCGUCUAACAAACACUAACCUAUUGUGGUUUCCAGGCAAGCCCCGGUGCAUGAAUUCCCUAUUUUACUUUUAUGCCAAUUACAAUGCGUAUGAUUGUGCAUUUACGUUUGUAGGAGUUGAUUGAAACCAUAGAUGCAUGAACUUAGUACCUUGAUCUGAAUACUAGUUGCUAAGGUCGAGUAGUUGCAAUGCUUAAUAGGUCUCGGUAAAAGUCGAGUGAUUUCGUGUCACUUGCGAGUUAUAGGAGUUGAAUGUUUUAUUUAUGUUCCAACUAUAAGGACGACGGAGGGGGUCGGGCUUAUGUUCGAUACUUGGUGGUUUGCCCCGUCUGUCUAAAUGAAAUUGGACUAAGGUCGAAACGUGUCGGCGUUCGUGAUCAAGUGUUUGAAAGUACUAGUCUCAUACCUAGUAUGGGAUGGGGAAGCCUAGUACCUGAUUGAACUAGGACGUGGCUUAUACUCCUGCUGUCCUUGGAACGUCGUUCCCAUGGUGCAUCAUGUGGGUGCAAUGGCAGUGACAGUACGGCAGAGACCGGGACUGUGGAGCAUUGCAUGCCAAAGGCAGUUUGGCCCUGACACGUGCCUAAGGGAUCGAUGGGGAUAGCUGACAAAUGAAGCGACCCUUCGUGGUGCGUGGAUGUCGUGAGAUUAGGUUCGCCAUGCAUGGUUAAUAAAUUUGAAUCGAUUCGUCUACCUCUCACAGUUUGGGACUACUUGAUCGCUAUUCUGCACUGAGUAAAGAUGGAACAUGAUGAUGAUAUUAAUCUUGAUGCUUGUUCUUUAAUUGUUUGGAAACUAUGCUUGCCUAGUAUAAGUUGCUAAUCUAGACUGGUUAAUGAACUUAGAACUUGAGCUAAAAUAUUGAAAGUAAGGACCAACUUUAGUCGCUUUUGGCAAAAACAAACCCACCGCCAAAAAGCCUUGCAUGUCUAGGAGUCGGUGGAGUAGUUACCACCUGACGGGUAAGCCUUGUUGAGUACUAGUAUACUCAGCCUUGCUUGUGGCUUCUUUUUCAGGUGUGGUUGCU